AUCAAUCUUGACACCCAAUUUCAUCAUAAUUCAAUACUGGGACAGUUUUCUUUUAAAAGAGAUAUCGCUCUUUAGCUAUGCAUUUACUUCAUUUCAUCCAAUACCUUUAUUUUGUUAACCAUAGUUUCAAUUUCUCUAAUUCCCUUUACUCUUUAUCCUCUUAAGGUUUCAUUUUUCUUGACUCCAUAUUCAAUUUUUUCAAGCCUAACCUCUUAGCCACCAUAGUUGUUCUUAUCAGUUAGCGAUUCUAAGGAACCUUUAUGGAUCAUGGUGUUCUAAGCUCACUCGACCUUUUUUCUUAUCAUGACUCUUGAACUACAUUUGUCCUGAUUCUCAUGCAACCCCAGAUAUGUAGGCAAAUCAGAGAACGGAGUUUGGCCGCAAUCUCUCUAUCAUUCUGCAUACAUAUCCUCCUAGAUCCUGCCAUCUAUGUCAAAAUUAGGUUACUAGUCAACAUCUUUGAUCAGAUACUCUUUCAUCAUUUCCAACCAAAGAGGGACAACUAUUGGCACCCAAUUUUGUCUCGUCUUUCUUUCAAGUCAUCUCUUUGCGCUUCUAAAUAAUUUUCAUAGCUUAAAAAAAUAUAUGUAUGAUAUUCCUAUAAUUAGGAGUUUAUGCAAGUCGUGCCACCAUUUGUAUUUUUAAACUAAAAGUUAUCAAUGACAUUGUUAUUAUUAUAAUGAUAAUUAUUGUUGUUGUUAUUAUUUAUUAUCAUUACAAUUUAACUAUAUUGUGAAUUAUCAUCGCAUUUCCUCAAACUUUCGCUAAAGACAUUAUAUUUAUUUAUCUAUUUUUAAUUGAAUGAAGUAUUUCGGUGACUCUCUUGUUUACAAAUAUUAUCGUUCAAUAUCAAAUUUAUCAUGCUAAUUUGUUCAAAUAAUUAUAUUUAAAUGUCAAAUAAUUUUUGUCAUUUGUUCGGAUAUUUAUAAUGUGUUUUGCUAAAAGUGUUAUUUAAAUUAAUUUAGAAAGCCCAGAUAACAUAAGAAAGAAGGUCAAAUUAAUUUAACCCAUUUUACAAAAUUCUUGCAAUUUGGCCAAAUUUCAAGAUCCUACCCAUAAAGGCCAUCUUUUCUCUACCCUUCUACCUCAGCGCCACAGGGACGCCACGUUUGCGCCACAUAAGGUGCCAAGCGGGCAUAACACACACCAAACACACUUUUGUUGCACUCUCACACACCCUAGCACGUGUCUGUCCUUUGCCACGAGUCUUUGCCCUAUUUGUUGGUCAAAUUAAUUUAAUUUCCAACUAGAGAAAACUUCCAAUUUUGUCCUCACUUAUUUCACCUAAAAUACCAAUAGUUCCCUCCAAAAAACCUAAAAACUAGCCUAAGUUUUUCUACUCUCAAUGAACCACCUUUUGAACAUGCCUCAACAUUUUCUUCUCCUCUUCAAGUAAAACUACUGACCCCUUUCACCAUGGGUAGGAUUUGCUGCUCUAUUUUUGUGAUGAAUCCUUUCUGUCAGGUGAAGAUCGGGUGGAGACAAAUUCCAACAUUUGAAUGUUUAUCAUUCAACAAUUUGAGGAACCCAAUUCCCACUCAAAGGGUGAAUUCCAACGAAUCUACUAUAAAUACUCAUAUUUGGAAGCUUAAAAAAAGAUGAGAAAGGAAGAAGAAAAAGGGAGGAUGGAAGACCUAGCAUUGUUUGUAGUUUUUCUCGUCCAUUCAUUCUUUCGGUCGUGAACAGGCCUUUUCAGCUUCUCUCACUUGCUGAAAUAUCACCCAAAGGUUAUUGGAGAAGAUUUAGCUAUAAGUCUACUUUGAAAACUUAUUUUGGGAAAUAGACAUUUCUUUUGCCUUGACCUAACUUUUUAGUGUUUUGUGGGACAUGGGUUUAAGUGUAAAAUAAGAAAACCUUUUGGCAUCCCUUAUGUAUUUUUUAAAUUUUGUGGAAUCCCUUAUGUAUUUAUUAAAUAUAUUUUUAACCCUACUGUUCCAUUAAAUACAAAAAAAAUAAAUUCUCUCUCAUCUUCUCUCUUUACAACGACACACUUCAUCUCCC
This 2001-nucleotide long non-coding RNA is filed under the name Capsicum annuum. RNAcentral's name for it is "long non-coding RNA (CANN_LNC008596)". The record is from RNAcentral. Lineage: Eukaryota; Viridiplantae; Streptophyta; Magnoliopsida; Solanales; Solanaceae.